GGUUUCAACAAAAGCCACUGACAGGAGACCAAUUACCAGUAGAAACCAACAGGCACCAUUACAGUUUCCGUUAAAACCAAUACAAUUUCAUUAUAACCAGUAAAACCAUUACAAAUUAUAUGAUGGUUUCUAUUUAUUUAUUUAUUUAUUUUCAGUAGGGGAUUGAAAUAAAUGUAUGUUUGUAUGAACUAAAAUACUUGAAAUCUAUAGAAAAAGAGCAGAAUGCAAAAUGUAUAAUAUGACAAUAAUAAGCAUAAACCUAGAAUCUAGAAACCUGAAACAACAGAAUUCUUCAAUUUGAGUAUUCACAUCUCUCUCUCUCUCUCUCUCUCUCUCUCUCUCUCUCUCUCUCUCUGUGUGUGUGUGUGUGUGUGUGUGUGUGUGUGUCAUGUUAAUCAGACUUAUCACCUUAUAGGCGAUUUCAUUUACUCUAUUUUCUAACUCAGUAGGUCUAUCUCUCAAAUGUAGCCCAUUGUAGAAUCACUGCUGUCUCUUUAUGAAUGAAUGGAAUAUAGAGACAGAAUACCAACCAAAACAUCCAGAAAAAAACACAUUAUAUAAAGGUGUAAUGUAGGUUUUGUUUCAUGUUUUGGCUUCAUGUUCAUGGUUUCAUGUCUUUUAUUUUGUUAUUGUUUGAUUGCUGUUUGUGUCAUGCUUCCCUUGCCCUCUUGUCUUCAUGCUAUUGGUUCCUCUUGUUCAUUGUGUCGUGUUCUGAUUGGUUUAUUGUCUUGUCGUGAUUAUCAGUUCUGUUUGCUCAUUGGUUUGUUCAUGCCAUGUGACCCUCAUUGUCUGUUAUAAGUAGUCAUGUUAUUGCCUUGUUCCCUGUUAUUAACGUAUGUACCUGCUGUUGGUGAGCCUAGUCUGUUUUAGUCAAGUCUGUUCGUACCUCAUCAAGUCUAUGUUUGAAUUUUGGAUUGCACCUUGUUAAUAGACUGCACUUGGGUUCAUCUACGCUUUAGUGGACUCUUUACAAAAGGUUAGAGAUUGAUUUAAAUUUCAGUGAGUGAAAUAAGUAUUUGAUCCCCUACCAGCCAGCAAUGAUUCUGGCUCCCACAGAUUGGUUAUGUGCCCAUGUGGAACACAGAUUAGUGUCCUGUCACUUUAAGAAGUUACUCCUAAUGUCAGCUCAUUAGGUGUACAAAAGACACCUGCCCACACAAUCUGUAUCUUCCAUUCCAACUUCUCCCACCACUAUGGGCAAGGCCAAAGAGCAGUCAAAGGAUGUCAGAGACAAAAUUGUAGAACAGCACAAGGCUUGAAGACCAUCAGCAAGAAACUUGGUGAGAAGGAGACAACUGUUGGUGCGAUUAUUCGGAAAUCGAAGAAAUACAAAUCAACCAUCAAACCACCUCGGUCUGGAGCUCAGUGCAAGA
Long non-coding RNA from Cyprinus carpio (common carp), 1373 nucleotides. The record is from Ensembl. NCBI's taxonomy places the organism in Eukaryota, Metazoa, Chordata, Actinopteri, Cypriniformes, Cyprinidae.